RNAcentral lists this ribosomal RNA (519 nucleotides) under Halomonas sp. Md 242. RNAcentral's name for it is "bacterial SSU rRNA". It matches the Rfam family "Bacterial small subunit ribosomal RNA", at positions 8 to 524 of the family's 1533-position model. The record is from RNAcentral. Lineage: Bacteria; Pseudomonadati; Pseudomonadota; Gammaproteobacteria; Oceanospirillales; Halomonadaceae.
AGAGUUUGAUCCUGGCUCAGAUUGAACGCUGGCGGCAGGCCUAACACAUGCAAGUCGAGCGGUAACAGAUCCAGCUUGCUGGAUGCUGACGAGCGGCGGACGGGUGAGUAAUGCAUAGGAAUCUGCCCGAUAGUGGGGGAUAACCUGGGGAAACCCAGGCUAAUACCGCAUACGUCCUACGGGAGAAAGGGGGCUCCGGCUCCCGCUAUNGGAUGAGCCUAUGUCGGAUUAGCUAGUUGGUGAGGUAACGGCUCACCAAGGCCACGAUCCGUAGCUGGUCUGAGAGGAUGAUCAGCCACAUCGGGACUGAGACACGGCCCGAACUCCUACGGGAGGCAGCAGUGGGGAAUAUUGGACAAUGGGGGAAACCCUGAUCCAGCCAUGCCGCGUGUGUGAAGAAGGCCCUCGGGUUGUAAAGCACUUUCAGCGAGGAAGAACGCCUAGCGGUUAAUACCCGCUAGGAAAGACAUCACUCGCAGAAGAAGCACCGGCUAACUCCGUGCCAGCAGCCGCGGUAAU